Molecule: non-coding RNA, 3986 nt
Organism: Meleagris gallopavo (turkey)
Lineage: Eukaryota; Metazoa; Chordata; Aves; Galliformes; Phasianidae
Source: RefSeq, a predicted model, not a curated record
AAACAAAACAAAACAAAACAAAACAAAACAAAACAAAACAAGAUGUAUCUCUAAAACAUGUUUGCAGAAGGCAGAGAUCCCUCCCCUCGCAGAGGAAUACCACUGGAGGCAAAACCCCAUGGCUGGUGCCACAAGUCACACCCAGCCAGCCAGACAUACUCUGGGGAUAGCGGGCACUCUCCUCCAAAAUACUCAAACCUUCCCCAGCUACAAUUUCAUAGAAUCAUAGAAUCACUGAAGUCAGAAAAGACCACUAGUCCAAACCCCAGUCCACCCCCACCAUGCCCAUGUCCCUCAGUGCCACAUCACACGGUUCUUGAACACCUCCAGAGACAGUGACUCCACCCCUUCCCUGGGCAGUCUGUGCCAGUGCCUCACAACUCCUGAGGAGCUCCUUCUUUCCUAACACCCAACCUGAGCCUCCCCUGGCACUACUUAAAGCCCUCAAGCCUACAGCCCAGUCGCUGUGCUACCUCACGGCAGGUGCUAUUAGAGCCAUGCCGAAGCAGAAAUGCUGUCACCGGGUCAGAUCACUUUUGAAAGUUCUGUUAACAUCUGCUUCAUUUUUCAGGUCAGUGAAGACAACUCUUAGCAUUAUAUCCUUGGAGAGUUUGUAACUUCUACCCUGACUGUGUUCUUUGGAUGGAAGUGCCCUCAGAGCCCUCUGGCUAUUUUGCCACAGCCCCAAAUGUAGCCCUGCUUCUGUACUCCUGAGACCAUCAGUGCAACAGCUGCACCACAUUUGUCUUCUAAGUGCAGCUUGAGAUAAUGGCAUUGAUCUGUUGUGUUCUUUAUUCUCUCAGAAACCAAUAAUGAGCAUUCUGCUUGAGGCAGAGAUGAAUAUAGAAGCACGGUCCUCGCCUGGUCUACAUCACGUGUGAUAGAUGAAGGUUAGAGCUGGGGAAGGGAGAAAUGGAGAAGGACAACAGAGUCACGCGGGGCUCCCUCUGCAGAAAGAAAUCUAUUUUGAUUGGCAUUUUUGAAGUAUUUUAUUCACACUUAAUGAAGACCAGGAAAGAAAUGAAGAAUGAGAACAAGACGGCUAGGAAUCAAAGCAGCUACAAAUGAUUGAAAAGGUCCUGAAUUUCAAUUAAACAGGAUUCAAGAUUCUCAGAUUAUUUUUCAUGUGUAUUUACUACCAUUUACCCUGUGUUCUGUUAGCACGGGAUGCAGUAAGCACCUUCAUAAUGCUGCAGACUGGGUGGCAGUGAAUCGGUAGUUCCCCUGGGUAAGGUCCUGGGGGCAGGAAAGUUGGCAGUGCCUCCAGGUCCCAGCACGGUCUGCGUCCUAUGAGCUGCAGGGGAAGAUCUUGGCUGGGAGCAGCUGUCACUGCUCUAUCGAGCUGAUGAAUCUGUGACAUCGGUAAGGAACGAGCCCUAAAACUUUGGCUGCAAACAUUGAUCACAGAGCACUGAUGUGACCAUCCACAAAAAGAGGAUUCUAAGAUACGCCUGAUGGGGAACUGGGGCAGAGGAAGGGUUUCUGUAUCACCGCUGUUUCACCCCAGUUUUGCUCCUGCCACUCUCAGCCAUCAGCAUCAAGUUCCCCAAAUGCUCCUUUUGAAAGAAACCUCAUGGAAAACGAACAAUUCCUGCAAAAUUCUUGCUGAAGAUCUACCCACUUGGCUUAGUGAAGUUUCACCUACCCAGACUAAAAGGUUUGCUCUGAUGCUGUUAUCUGGCACCAGGAGAAGGGUGGAGGUCCACCUUUUUUGCAGAUUAAAACUGCAGUUACCUGCUGGAGAUGGGCUAUGGAGAUGGUUAUUUGGCUCAGCACUUUGCCUUUCUCUCUGUGAGCUCCGAUAAAUUGUGCAUUUUUCCUUAGCUUUUGUAGUCCUGUGUGCUGCCAUUGCCAUUCUCGGCGCUUUUCCUUUUAGCCAAGUAACUCUGCAAAGUAUGCUCUGAUGAACUGGCAGUCAGACAACAAGCAGAUUAGCAAACAGGAUCUUCUAGAGGCCUUGAAUCCUGAUGAUGUAUAAACAUAUAAAAGCCAAGGUAUAUACUCAGAGUCACACCACAUCUGCUUGGAGAGGAGAAACAAGAGAGUCGCUGGCAUGUUGGAUUUCAUAGAAUUCUAGUGGUUGCAUACUGCUGUCAUUUAGCAUCUUUUGGGUUAGACCUCUCUUAAUUUCUCCUGCAGUUUUUUGGAGUCCAGUGUGAAAAUGACCCUUGUCAGCAGAGGCCAGACCUCUGUUAAUGAGUGGCCUUGUGAUAAAUCCCUCGCUUCCAACAAAGCAAUGGGAUAUUCUUGCUAUUAAGCAUGGUAACUAGGUCAGAAAACAUUAUAAGGACUGUGGGCUGAGGAUUGCCUGAUUUCUCUGCUGAUAUUUCCUAAGCUCCCAAUGGAGAGUUUCUGCAUUUAUGUCAAAUAUAUUUUGAAAGACGGCACUACAAUCAUUGCUUCAGCAUCAUUCAGCAAGUUUCCAGCGGGCAUAUUCCAUCUCCUUAUCAGAUACAGCUACAAAAGGGAAACAGCGUAGGUAAGAUAAAAUCUCUUUUUAAAUUAAGCAAAAUAAGCUUCUCGUUGUUUGGCUUGGAUUUUGUAGGGCACUUCCAAAAUACUGAAGAUCUCUAUUUAUUUCCAACAUAUUACCUGCCAUGACUGAACAUGAAGGUAUUUAUAAGCUUACAUUGCAUUAAUCAGUGAUUACUGCAAUGGAUUGGCUCUAUAUUUGCUUUCUGAUCUGAAGUGUUCAGUCCCUUCUCUGCCUACAAAGCUGAUCAGUGAAACAGGCCAUGAUAAAAGCUGUGUGAGAAAGCUUCCUUCUGUACUAAUUGGAUGAAACUUGGAAACCAGAGGCUUUACUGGGAGCGCUGCCUAUUUUCCUCAUAAUUAUUUGCAUAUUCAGUUUAACAGCAAAACAAGUCUAUAAUUGUUCAGUUCAGAAAGGAAAAGCUUCUCACCGCAUAUGGCGGUCAGAAGAAACAUGUGCAGCUACUACAUCAACACUAAAUAGCGCUAAAUCAGCACUACCUGCACUAAUUUGGGAUGGAGAAGUGUAUCAAACAAUAACUUCAGAAGCAAAGGAUAUUAAGGGAAGGAAGCCAGCAAGAGCCAGCUUUAAUGCAUGCUUGUUAGCACAAGGAAGAACUUCUCUGCUGCUCGGCACGUAAAUUACAUUCACCAUCUAAUCACACCGCAACGAUCUGAGGUGGUUUAACAUUCAGGUAUGUUUUGUAAACAAUUUACAGUUGAUGCGUAACUCACAACAGCAUUGCCACUGCCUUUAAAUUUGAUCAUAAGGCUGAGGUGAGACCUAAAUGUGAGCCUCCCGCUUUGAUGUCUGACAUAAAUAAUGUACGCAGAGAUCCUCAAACGCUAUUUGGCUCCACUGCUGUGGAUUGAAUGUCACAGCUUCAUGCUGCUGUGAAGAAGUAACACCACCAAAAUAACUUGGUCUAGCUAUUUAACCUUGCAAAUAUAUACUAGGAAAUGAGACAAAGUCUGCAAAAAUAAAAGGGGGGGGAGGGAGGGGCAGGGAGGGGAAAGCAUUAAAAAAAAGGUUGAAAUUGAAUGUAGCCCUUGCAAUUCAAACUCAUAUUUUUUUCUCAUCCUUUUGUUCCAUCCAAACCCAUACAACUGUCUGAACCAGUAAUGGUUACCAUAACACCAUUACACUUCAGCACAUACAUUUAUAUCUCCUGGUCAUGUAUUUCUCCAAAAUAGGAUUAUUGAACCAGUUGGUAUGGAGUCAAACACUGGAGUACAUUCUCAAGCAAAUUCUCACAAAUGAGUUCUAAGUGUUACAUGAGUAAGGACUGACAAAACAUUCAAAAGCCACUCCGAAUCUGACUUUUCUCCUACUUUCCAGUGCAAAGGAAAGGAAAAGUAAUGUUUUAAACAUAAAGUAUGAAAUUUCAUAUUAUCUUUUUUUUUUUUCUUCCCAAAAGACAUCACUGCAGAUCAAUUUCAUCUGUCGUAACUUCUGCCUGCAAAUUCUCCUGACAAGAAUAAUCCCUUCCAUCAAAUUGAAUAAUAAGCUAAAG